RNAcentral lists this ribosomal RNA (856 nucleotides) under uncultured bacterium. Its description in RNAcentral is "bacterial SSU rRNA". It matches the Rfam family "Bacterial small subunit ribosomal RNA", at positions 524 to 1381 of the family's 1533-position model. The record is from RNAcentral.
UACGAAGGGACCUAGCGUAGUUCGGAAUUACUGGGCUUAAAGAGUUCGUAGGUGGUUGAAAAAGUUGGUGGUGAAAUCCCAGAGCUUAACUCUGGAACUGCCAUCAAAACUUUUCAGCUAGAGUAUGAUAGAGGAAAGCAGAAUUUCUAGUGUAGAGGUGAAAUUCGUAGAUAUUAGAAAGAAUACCAAUUGCGAAGGCAGCUUUCUGGAUCAUUACUGACACUGAGGAACGAAAGCAUGGGUAGCGAAGAGGAUUAGAUACCCUCGUAGUCCAUGCCGUAAACGAUGUGUGUUAGACGUUGGAAAUUUAUUUUCAGUGUCGCAGCGAAAGCGAUAAACACACCGCCUGGGGAGUACGAUCGCAAGGUUAAAACUCAAAUGAAUUGACGGGGACCCGCACAAGUAGUGGAGCAUGUGGUUUAAUUCGAAGAUACGCGCAGAACCUUACCAACACUUGACAUGUUCGUCGCGACUCUAAGAGAUUAGAGUUUUCGGUUCGGCCGGACGAAACACAGGUGCUGCAUGGCUGUCGUCAGCUCGUGUCGUGAGAUGUUGGGUUAAGUCCCGCAACGAGCGCAACCCUCACUUUUAGUUGCCAUCAUUAAGUUGGGCACUCUGAAAGAACUGCCAGUGAUAAGCUGGAGGAAGGUGGGGAUGACGUCAAGUCCUCAUGGCCCUUACGUGUUGGGCUACACACGUGCUACAAUGGUAUCUACAACAGGAAGCAAGACUGCGAAGUUAAGCAAAUCCCUAAAAGAUACCUCAGUUCGGAUUGCACUCUGCAACUCGAGUGCAUGAAGCUGGAAUUACUAGUAAUCGUGGAUCAGCGUGCCACGGUGAAUGCGUUCCCGGGUCU